This 407-nucleotide RNase P RNA is filed under the name bacterium. Its description in RNAcentral is "RNase P RNA component class A". It matches the Rfam family "Bacterial RNase P class A". Rfam says of the family: Ribonuclease P (RNase P) is a ubiquitous endoribonuclease, found in archaea, bacteria and eukarya as well as chloroplasts and mitochondria. Its best characterised activity is the generation of mature 5'-ends of tRNAs by cleaving the 5'-leader elements of precursor-tRNAs. The record is from RNAcentral. RNAcentral also lists the same sequence under 2 other names.
GGAAUCAGGGCAGUCGCCCCCAGUUGAUCUGGGGGAGGAAAGUCCGGACACCACAGGAUAAUCCGCCCCGGGAAAGCUGGGGGCAACAUCGGCGCAAGCCGCGUUGACGGAAAGUGUCACAGAAAAAAUACCGCCCGGCGCAAGUCGGGUAAGGGUGAAAAGGCGGGGUAAGAGCCCACCACCUUUUGGGCAACCAAAAGGAAUGACAAACCACGGAUGGUGCAAGGCCGAGCAGGGGGAACGGGUGAUCCGCCCGUCCCGCGCAAGCGGGACACUCCCGGGUUGGAGCCGCAUUGGAUGGGUGGCAACACCCGACCAAAACCCGCCGUGAGGCGGGUUAGAGAAAUGGCUGCCAACUCAUCAGGGAAACUUGGUGAGUCACAGAAUCCGGCUUACGGAUUCCACAG